UACGUAGGGUGCUAGCGUUGUCCGGAUUUACUGGGUGUAAAGGGUGCUCAGGUGGAUUUGUAAGUCAGAGGUGAAAUCCCAAAGCUUAACUUUGGUGCUGCCUUUGAUACUGCAAGUCUAGAGUUUGAGAGAGGGCAAUGGAAUAUCUGGUGUAGCAGUGAAAUGCGUAGAUAUCAGGAGGAACAUCGAUGGCGAAGGCAGCCCCUUGGACCUGUACUGACGCUCAUGCACGAAAGCGUGGGGAGCAAACAGG
Molecule: ribosomal RNA, 253 nt
Filed under: uncultured bacterium
Lineage: Bacteria
Description: partial 16S ribosomal RNA
Rfam family: Bacterial small subunit ribosomal RNA
Source: RNAcentral